Molecule: ribosomal RNA, 253 nt
Filed under: uncultured bacterium
Lineage: Bacteria
Description: partial 16S ribosomal RNA
Rfam family: Bacterial small subunit ribosomal RNA
Source: RNAcentral
UACGUAGGGGGCAAGCGUUGUCCGGAAUUAUUGGGCGUAAAGAGCGUGUAGGCGGCCCGGUAAGUCCGCUGUGAAAGUCGGGGGCUCAACCCUCGAAUGCCGGUGGAUACUGUCGGGCUAGAGUGCGGAAGAGGCGAGUGGAAUUCCUGGUGUAGCGGUGAAAUGCGCAGAUAUCAGGAGGAACACCAAUUGCGAAGGCAGCUCGCUGGGACGUAACUGACGCUGAGACGCGAAAGCGUGGGGAGCAAACAGG